AUUUCUAAAGUGGCAGAAUAGUGCAAUGGAUUUAAGCUCCAAAUAUAAAG
Molecule: transfer RNA, 50 nt
Filed under: Tomicus destruens
Lineage: Eukaryota; Metazoa; Arthropoda; Insecta; Coleoptera; Curculionidae
Description: partial tRNA-Leu
Source: RNAcentral